CCUACGGGAGGCAGCAGUGAGGAAUAUUGGUCAAUGGCCGUAAGGCUGAACCAGCCAAGUCGCGUGAAGGAAGAAGGGUCUAUGGUUUGUAAACUUCUUUUAUAGGGGAAUAAAGGUAUCCACGUGUGGAUAUUUGCAUGUACCCUAUGAAUAAGCAUCGGCUAACUCCGUGCCAGCAGCCGCGGUAAUACGGAGGAUGCGAGCGUUAUCCGGUUUUAUUGGGUUUAAAGGGUGCGUAGGUUGUGUUUUAAGUCAGCGGGGAAAGUUUGUGGCUCAACCAUAAAAUUGCCGUUGAAACUGGAAGACUUGAGUGUGUUUGAGGUAGGCGGAAUGCGUGGUGUAGCGGUGAAAUGCAUAGAUAUCACGCAGAACUCCGAUUGCGAAGGCAGCUUACUAAGCCAUAACUGACACUGAAGCACGAAAGCGUGGGGAUCAAACAGGAUUAGAUACCCCAGUAGUC
Molecule: ribosomal RNA, 460 nt
Filed under: uncultured bacterium
Lineage: Bacteria
Description: partial 16S ribosomal RNA
Rfam family: Bacterial small subunit ribosomal RNA
Source: RNAcentral